RNAcentral lists this ribosomal RNA (288 nucleotides) under uncultured bacterium. Its description in RNAcentral is "partial 16S ribosomal RNA". It matches the Rfam family "Bacterial small subunit ribosomal RNA", at positions 337 to 642 of the family's 1533-position model. The record is from RNAcentral.
GCCUACGGGAGGCAGCAGUGGGGAAUAUUGCACAAUGGGGGAAACCCUGAUGCAGCGACGCCGCGUGAGUGAAGAAGUAAUUCGUUGUGUAAAACUCUAUCAGCAGGGAAGAAAAUGACGGUACCUGAGUAAGAAGCCCCGGCUAACUACGUGCCAGCAGCCGCGGUAAUACGUAGGGGGCAAGCGUUAUCCGGAUUUACUGGGUGUAAAGGGAGCGUAGACGGCAGUGCAAGUCUGGAGUGAAAGGCGUGGGCUCAACCCCCGGACUGCUCUGGAAACUGUACGGCU